Molecule: ribosomal RNA, 253 nt
Filed under: uncultured bacterium
Lineage: Bacteria
Description: partial 16S ribosomal RNA
Rfam family: Bacterial small subunit ribosomal RNA
Source: RNAcentral
UACGAAGGGGGCUAGCGUUGUUCGGAAUUACUGGGCGUAAAGCGCGCGCAGGCGGUUCUUCAAGUCAGAGGUGAAAGCCCAGGGCUCAACCCUGGAAUUGCCUUUGAGACUGAGGGACUUGGGUACGGGAGAGGUGAGUGGAAUUCCGAGUGUAGAGGUGAAAUUCGUAGAUAUUCGGAAGAACACCAGUGGCGAAGGCGGCUCACUGGCCCGUUACCGACGCUCAGGCGCGACAGCGAGGGGAGCAAACAGG